Molecule: long non-coding RNA, 553 nt
Filed under: Mytilus galloprovincialis (Mediterranean mussel)
Lineage: Eukaryota; Metazoa; Mollusca; Bivalvia; Mytilida; Mytilidae
Source: RNAcentral
CCCAUUUAAAGUAAACAGUUGAUAGAAAAAGGAAUAGUUUUACCAUUGUAUUCGACAAAGUAGGUUGAGAUCUUCUCAAAGCCAUAAAAUAUGUCCAUAAGAGAAAACUGGAAUUCAAGAAAUGGAAUACCAGGUAUUUAAGCUAAUUAGUCGAAAACAAAUUGACAACCUAAUGACAGAUAUAGAGAAAAAAAAAGGCCAAAGACAAACAACAAUUCACAAAACACAAGAUGAAAAAUAAAGAAUGCAUAACAUGAAUCCCACCAAAACAGGGGUGAUCAAAGAAACUCCGGAAGGGUAAGCAGACCCAGGUCAAUAUGUGGCACCCGUUGUUGUCUCAUUUUGGUAUGUAUUUUGUGUUAAGUCUAUUCGGUAGGUCAAUUUCAAGGAAAAUUUAGACAGUAUUGUCGGUUAUCCGUCGUUAUUUUUGAAACAUAAAGGCAACAGAAAACUGUUGUAUACCGCUGUUCAUUUGUGAAACAGAUAUUCCAUAACGUUCAACGAACUACUAAUGCUUUCUGUUAAAUUUUCAAAGUGAUGACUUCAACUGCAC